GGGGAUGUGGCUCAGGGGUAGAGAGUUUGCCUAGCAUGCAUGAGACUCUGGGUUCCAUCCCCAGUACCACCC
RNAcentral lists this transfer RNA (72 nucleotides) under Ictidomys tridecemlineatus (thirteen-lined ground squirrel). RNAcentral describes it as "Spermophilus tridecemlineatus (thirteen-lined ground squirrel) tRNA". It matches the Rfam family "tRNA". Rfam says of the family: Transfer RNA (tRNA) molecules are approximately 80 nucleotides in length. Their secondary structure includes four short double-helical elements and three loops (D, anti-codon, and T loops). The record is from Rfam by way of RNAcentral. Lineage: Eukaryota; Metazoa; Chordata; Mammalia; Rodentia; Sciuridae.